Rhododendron vialii is the source of this 5674-nucleotide RNA transcript. It is a transcript of the gene named pentatricopeptide repeat-containing protein At1g51965, mitochondrial, with no coding region annotated. The transcript is spliced from 3 exons. The record is from RefSeq and is a predicted model, not a curated record. NCBI's taxonomy places the organism in Eukaryota, Viridiplantae, Streptophyta, Magnoliopsida, Ericales, Ericaceae.
UUGAAUAUCAAUCGCUCCGACACUAGAGAGCACAGAAGCAAACGAUGAGGCGCCACCACAACAACCACCACAGCCUCCUCCGCCACCUCCACCGCCGCCACUUCGCCACUAAAUACACCGCCAGAGUCAUCACCGAAUCCUCCGACGGCCGCUCCCUCGCCAUCUCCGUCAACCCCCCGACCCUCCCCACCGACGUCCGGGGCUACGCCCUACCCCGCCGCGACCUCGUCUGCCACGUCACCAAGCUCCUCAGCCAAUCCCCGCCCGCGCCGUCCUCCCCCUUCUCCGACGACCUCCACGACCACCUCCUCUCCCUAUCCCCUCCCCUCACCCCCUCCGAAGCCUCCGAAAUCCUCAAAUCCCUAUCCUGCCCCCGCCUCGCCCUCCGCUUCUUCCGAUUCUGCCCCUCCCACAUCCCCGAUUUCCGCCACGACCCCUUCACCUACAACCGGAUCCUCCUCAUCCUCUCCAAAUCCCCUCCCCACGACCGGAACGACGCCGUGCGCCGCAUUCUAAACGACAUGGAGCGCACGGGCGUGCGCGGCAACAUCUCCACCGUUAAUUUACUGAUCGGGAUAUUCGGGGGAGGCGAGGAGCUGGAGAGUUGCCUGGGGCUGGUGAAGAAGUGGGAGCUGAGGUUGAAUUGUUAUACGUACAAGUGCCUCCUUCAGGCCUACUUGAGGUCGAGGGAUUUAAACAAGGCGUUUGAUGUGUAUAUGGAGAUGAGGCGGCGCGGAUAUAAGCUGGAUAUAUUCGCGUAUAAUAUGCUCCUGGAUGCUCUGGUUAAAGACGAGAAGGUAGAGCAGGCUUACAAGGUUUUCAAUGACAUGAAACGCAUGCACUGUGAGCCAGACGGGUAUACAUACACUAUUCUGAUCAGAAUGACUGGUAAAAUUGGGAAGCCUGAUGAUGCACUAGCCCUCUUUCAAGAAAUGCUAGCAAAAGGCUGUAUUCCAAACUCAAUUGUUUAUAACACUAUGAUCGAGGCACUUGCUAAGAGUCGGAUGGUUGACAAGACAAUAUUUCUCUUCUCUAAAAUGGUGGAAAAUGAUUGUCGGCCAAAUGAGUUCACCUACAGCCUCAUUCUAAAUGUUCUGGUUGCUGAAGGGCAGCUUGGUAAACUUGACGAGGUUGUGACAAUUUCAAGUAAGUACAUGAAUAAGUCGAUAUAUGCUUAUCUUGUGAGGACCUUGAGUAAAUUGGGCCAUGCAAGUGAGGCUCACAGGCUUUUUUGCAAUAUGUGGAGCUUUCAUGACAAGGGAGACAGGGAUGCUUACUUUUCUAUGCUAGAAAGUCUAUGCAAUAUGGGAAAAAUAACAGAAGCUUUGGAUUUUUUGGGCAAGAUUCAUGAAAAGGGAAUAAGUACUGAUACUUUUAUGUAUAACACCUUGUUCUCAGCCCUUGGAAAAUUCAAACAGAUUUCCCAUCUCCACGAUCUUUAUGAAAAGAUGAAGAAAGACGGCCCUCCACCAGACAUCUUCACCUACAAUAUUUUAAUCUCCAGCUUUGGUAGAGCUGGGAGAGUUGACGAAGCCGUCAAAGUAUUUGAAGAACUUGAGAACAGUAAAUGUAAGCCUGAUAUUAUCUCAUACAACUCUUUGAUCAAUUGCCUUGGGAAGAAUGGCAAUCUUGAUGAAGCCCACAUUAGGUUCAAAGAGAUGCAAGAGAAGGGAUUGAAUCCUGAUGUGGUCACAUAUAGCACACUGAUUGAGUGCUUUGGCAAGACAGAUAAAGUUGAAAUGGCUUGUAGGUUGUUUGAUGAGAUGCUGGCUGAUGGCUGCUGCCCUAACAUUGUAACAUACAAUAUCUUGCUCGACUGUUUAGAGAGGUCAGGAAGAACUGCUCAAGCGGUUGAUCUUUAUGCGAAUCUUAAGCAACAAGGGUUGACACCAGAUUCAAUCACGUAUGCAGUUCUUGAACGGUUGCAAAGUGGUUCACGUACGUCAGGUAGAAUUCGCAGACAGAGUCCGAUUACAGGAUGGGUUGUUAGUCCUUUAAGGUGAUUGAACACAUACAUAUUUAGCAUAUGAUCAGGGGAAGUGGGGUUUUGUUUGUUCAUCCUGGAAUUCUUCUGUUUGUUUCUGCAGCAGGUGACUAAUUUGUUCUAAACCGUCAGGAUUGGUGAACAUUAUAGAAUAUUGAGGAAACACCCUCAUACUUGUCACAUAUUUUGAAGGAAGGAACUUGAUACCAUGUCUUGAUAGGCAAUUAGUUGAAUAUAUAAACUUGAGAUUGACAAUAUGAGUUGAACUGGUUUGGGCCUUUUGGUUCUGGUGGAUGCUGGUUAUCGGAGGAGAUGGGCCUUCUUUUGGAUGCUGCUUUGCAAAGAGAUGUCCAAAAUCCCGAGUAAAGCAAUCUGUAUCAGAAUCUGCUUCAUUUUCAUGUGCAAAACAUCACAGUUGCAUUGUUCAUAAUGAUCAAAAAUGUUUACGGCUAUACUAUGAAAAAGAUGGUGGAAAGUGCUGAUUUAUUGGUACCAGGUAUCCUGUUUCUAGAUUUCUGGGGUCCAGAUGAGUGGGUGCCUUUCUUUGACAUAAGUAAGAAUCUUCCUCAUGCAAUUUGAAGUUGAAGGAGCCCAAUGAGCUGGCCUUGCCUUGCCUACGAAGCAAUGAGCAUCACCUGCUGAUGUACGUAGUUGCGCUGAAACUUGUUUUACCGCCCAUCCUGACAUUCAAAGGGCAUAGCUCUUGUGGAAGCAAGGAAAGCGUGUGCGGAGCAGAUAUUUAUAGAGAAAACCUAUAGGAACCGACAGGUCCCUUACCGAAAUUGUACCAACGGCCGCACCGGGCCGUUUCCGGCCACCAGACAGCCGAUCCGAGCCUUUCAAAAAUUCUAAAAACAAAAACCGAGUGGGCCUACGUGAGAAUCAAUGGCAUCCGACGCGCGUAGGUGUUCGAUCCAAACACCCCAUUUUGUUGUAUAUAAAUGUAUAUACAUGUAUAUAUGAAAAAAUGAGGUGUUUGGAUCGAGUACCUACGCACGUCGGAUGCCGUUGAAUUCCGCGGGGACCCACUCGGGGUUUUUUUUUAGAAUUUUUUGACUGCUCGGAUCGGCCUUCCGGUGGCCGGAGACGGCCCGGAGCGGCCGUCAGUACGAUUUCGGUACGGUACCCGUCGGUACCAAUAGCAGGUCUCGAUAUUUAUAUGAUUGAAAAUUAUUGUGUAGGGAACUUGUCUAACAACUCUAACCUCAAGACCCAUAUGUUAUGCUCACCCAUCUUGGGGCUGCUAAUCAGGUUCUUUCUGGUAACUCGAGGGAUAUUACUGCAUAACUCAAACUACCUCUCUUGAAGGGUAACUCUCUAUCUUUUUUUUUUGAUAAGUAGGGUAACUUUGUAUCUUGAUUGUACUUAUAUGAUUGCUGUAUUCGUGACUCUUGAAAUUGAAUUCUAUUCGUUUUGGUUUUCCUCUUCAACAGUAUGACGGAAUGCUUGGAAAUAAAAUUUGUGUUUCUAUCCGUGACCAAGCUAAGCUGCGUAGAAUGGUGAGAAAUAAAAUUUUCUGAAAUCAAUGGAGGUGGCGGAAUAAACCUUGAAUCUGACUUUGUCUUGUCUUGGAGACUUAUUCAUGAAUAUAAAUUUAAUGUAAUGUUUGACAAUUUGAAACCUGGAGGUAAACUCAAAGGUGUAGACAAUCUAAUAAAGUCGAGCCUUUUAGUGCUGUUGGCUAUGGAUCCCUUAUGAGAGAGGGGAGAGAGAGAGGCGGGGGAAGUGUCAAAGUCCUUCCCCAAGAUCCAAUUAGUGGAGAAAAAAAGAUUGAGAUUUUAAGAUGCAAAACAUGACUGAAGAGCUUCCAGGAAACGGGCCAAAACGACACUAUUUUGAUGCCCCACACAGCUGUAUGUGUGACUGCAGUACAGCACCCCCGGAUCCCUCUCUCUCCCCUGUGUCCUUCUCCAUCUCCACUUUUAUUUGUAUUGUCCCCUUUAUAUCGGAUUUUUUUUCCUUUGUUUAUAGUCUCCACUUAUUUUCUUCCUCAGUAGUAUUGCCUAUUUCCCCAUACAUACGACCAACACCAUCAAAUAGGCUCAUGAUUUAACACUGAUUUUUCUUCCUUUUGUUCUAAGUUCAAAAUAAGAAAAAAGGGAGAAUAUACGGAAAUAAGUAAAUAAUCUUUAGGAGAUAAAUACUGAGAGAGAGGAAGAGGGGGGCAACUACUCACAGAAGAGUGGACGAUUUGUGAUCUGAACCGUCUGUUUAGCAAUUAAUGGUCCAGAUGAUAAUUGUCGAGAUAAGAUUUGAAUCAUUGUUUGUUGAGAUGCCGCACUGCCCCUUAUAGUGCAGAGGUGCACUACAGAAUCAGGUGUCCCACAAGUAAAUUUGCCCACCCAGUCGCCUAUACAUGCAAAUAAAUAAAUUUGCCCACUCAAAUUUUCCACAUUUCUCGUUUUUGAAUUUGUCUGUCAUUAUUCUUAUUAUAGGUGGAUUUCCCGUACUUUUUCUUUCUCGUAUGUGCGGAAAUGACUUUAUUUUGACUUUUGAGACACAAAAAUGCCACUAUCGUACUCAGGUUUAUUGCAAUAGUAACUAGUAGUAGUUAGUAAUUUGUCGGGGAAGCAUCUCAAAGAUUAUACUAUUUCUUAUCUUUUUUAUUAAUAAAAACUUGGUUUGCCUCCAAAUUCCAACAUGUAACAUUCAAGCAUUACCUUUCGUGACCAGCUAAAACAGCCAACUGCCCAUCUUAGAAAAAUGAAUGAGAGAGAGAGAGAGAGAGAGAGAGAGAGAGAGAGCAUCUAAUACAUGGAAAAUGUGCGGAAUCAAUGUAGCCCCAGUCCGUGACCAUCAACCACUCUGUUGUUUUAUCUUCUCCUUUUCGCAUCUUUUACAUUGUUGAGGAUAUUCUGUUUCGAUGCUGCAUUUGCUUUGGGCUGAAAAAGCUGAUCUGAUUCUCUAGCCAUUGAUUCAAAAACCCUACCCUGAUGCCAAGGCAUGUGGUUGGGCAACGGUUGAGCCAGACUUUUUCCUGCAUGGCAAAAAUCUUGCAAAUCGAUCACUGUCGACCUUAAUUGGGUUCUGUUGUCUCUUUCUGAUACACACCUUUCACAUGGCAAUAAUUUUGUGGCCAGCAAAACUAGGCCUUGUGUAGAGGCAAGGCUUAUUUAAAAAGAACCCAAGAAAAGAAAAUGAGCACCAAAUUUCCCUGUCCAAAGAACAUGGAGCUCACAUUCUUCUUCUUCUUAGCCUCUGUUCUAGCAACGUCCCAAGCUGCAGCAACUCCCUACCAAAUCCACCUUCUCCGGCCACAUUCCGGGGCUUCCGGCCACCAUGUCCCCGACAUUUCCUGCCUCAGCUGGCGGCUCGCCGUUGAGACUGACAACAUCCGCGACUGGGACGUAGUCCCAGAAGCGUGUGAGAACUACGUUGGCCACUACAUGCUAGGCCAUCAGUACCGAAAAGAUUGCAACGCUGUUGGGUACUCCGCUUUGCAAUAUGCUAAGAGCCUUAAGCUCGCCGGAGACGGGAAGGACAUUUGGGUCUUUGACAUUGAUGAAACUGCACUCUCUAACCUACCGUAUUAUGCUCGCCCAGAAAAUGGAUUUGGGUAGGGUCCUAACUGACACUGUCUUCCUUUUUUAUUGCUUGUAUUGGUCUUCAUUGCAUGUGACCAGACAACCUCAGUUUUUUCCCUAACGUCAAUGGUUGUUAGUCCUACCAAUUAGAGAAUGUUCACACUUA